This 497-nucleotide ribosomal RNA is filed under the name uncultured bacterium. RNAcentral describes it as "partial 16S ribosomal RNA". It matches the Rfam family "Bacterial small subunit ribosomal RNA", at positions 28 to 507 of the family's 1533-position model. The record is from RNAcentral.
GAUGAACGCUGGCGGCGUGCCUAAUACAUGCAAGUCGAGCGAACAGACGAGGAGCUUGCUCCUCUGACGUUAGCGGCGGACGGGUGAGUAACACGUGGAUAACCUACCUAUAAGACUGGGAUAACUUCGGGAAACCGGAGCUAAUACCGGAUAAUAUAUUGAACCGCAUGGUUCAAUAGUGAAAGACGGUUUUGCUGUCACUUAUAGAUGUAUCCGCGCCGCAUUAGCUAGUUGGUAAGGUAACGGCUUACCAAGGCAACGAUGCGUAGCCGACCUGAGAGGGUGACCGGCCACACUGGAACUGAGACACGGUCCAGACUCCUACGGGAGGCAGCAGUAGGGAAUCUUCCGCAAUGGGCGAAAGCCUGACGGAGCAACGCCGCGUGAGUGAUGAAGGUCUUCGGAUCGUAAAACUCUGUUAUUAGGGAAGAACAAAUGUGUAAGUAACUAUGCACGUCUUGACGGUACCUAAUCAGAAAGCCACGGCUAACUACGUG